CCUACGGGCGGCAGCAGUGAGGAAUAUUGGUCAAUGGACGAGAGUCUGAACCAGCCAAGUAGCGUGAAGGAUGACUGCCCUAUGGGUUGUAAACUUCUUUUAUAUGGGAAUAAAACGUUCCACGUGUGGGAUUUUGUAUGUACCAUAUGAAUAAGGAUCGGCUAACUCCGUGCCAGCAGCCGCGGUAAUACGGAGGAUCCGAGCGUUAUCCGGAUUUAUUGGGUUUAAAGGGAGCGUAGGUGGUUUGUUAAGUCAGUUGUGAAAGUUUGCGGCUCAACCGUAAAAUUGCAGUUGAAACUGGCAGUCUUGAGUACAGUAGAGGUGGGCGGAAUGCGUGGUGUAGCGGUGAAAUGCUUAGAUAUCACGAAGAACUCCGAUUGCGAAGGCAGUUCACUGGACUGCAACUGACACUGAGGCUCGAAAGUGUGGGUAUCAAACAGGAUUAGAUACCCCAGUAGUC
This 460-nucleotide ribosomal RNA is filed under the name uncultured bacterium. RNAcentral's name for it is "partial 16S ribosomal RNA". It matches the Rfam family "Bacterial small subunit ribosomal RNA", at positions 338 to 795 of the family's 1533-position model. The record is from RNAcentral.